RNAcentral lists this ribosomal RNA (403 nucleotides) under uncultured bacterium. RNAcentral describes it as "bacterial SSU rRNA". It matches the Rfam family "Bacterial small subunit ribosomal RNA", at positions 28 to 431 of the family's 1533-position model. The record is from RNAcentral.
AUUGAACGCUGGCGGCAUGCUUUACACAUGCAAGUCGAGCGGCAGCGCGGGGGGCAACCCCUGGCGGCGAGCGGCGAACGGGUGAGUAAUGCAUCGGAACGUACCCUGGAGUGGGGGAUAACGCCGCGAAAGCGGCGCUAAUACCGCAUAUGCUCUGAGGAGGAAAGUGGGGGACCUGCAAGGGCCUCACGCUCUGGGAGCGGCCGAUGUCCGAUUAGCUAGUUGGUGGGGUAAAGGCUUACCAAGGCGACGAUCGGUAGCUGGUCUGAGAGGAUGAUCAGCCACACUGGGACUGAGACACGGCCCAGACUCCUACGGGAGGCAGCAGUGGGAAUUUUGGACAAUGGGGGCAACCCUGAUCCAGCCACGCCGCGUGAGUGAAGAAGGCCUCGGUUGGUAAGAC